Molecule: long non-coding RNA, 484 nt
Filed under: Gallus gallus (chicken)
Lineage: Eukaryota; Metazoa; Chordata; Aves; Galliformes; Phasianidae
Description: lncRNA (ENSGALG00010004886.1)
Source: RNAcentral
CAGGGACAUAAAUCAUCAUUGUAUAUGACUACAGAAAGUGAAAGAUAACUGAGACUCAGGCAGUUCACCUCCAGAUGAGCAGCAGAGACAUACCGGAUCAAAGUAAUCAGACAAACAAGAAGAGAUAUUUCCACACAUUUUGCAAUGAGAAACUCCACCAGCACCUUUACCUGCUCACAUGAAACCACUGCUUUCAAGUCACACGGCUUAUCAGAGAGAGCUGAAGGCGGUAUGGCAGAAGAAGUUGAACCUUCCCACCAAUAUUCUGUUACAUUUUGUUGCCAAUGACAGAUGGCAGCAGAAGGACAGUCAGACAAAAUGGCACCUGAUGUGGAAGUGCAUAUGAAGCAAAGGUGUGACACUGAAUUCUUUCACGCAGAAAAAACGUCACUUGUUGGCAUUCAUCAGUGCUUGCUGAACAUUUAUGGAAACCAACCAGUGGAUGUGAGCACAAUGAGACAGUGGGUGGUACAUUUCAGCAGAG